CCUACGGGAGGCAGCAGGGAGGAAUAUUGGGCAAUGGACGAGAGUCGGAACCAGCCAAGUAGCGUGAAGGAUGACGGCCCGAUGGGUGGUAAACGUCGGUUAUAAAGGAAUAAAACGAGGCACGUGUGCCUUUUUGCAUGUACUUUAUGAAUAAGGAUCGGCUAACUCCGUGCCAGCAGCCGCGGUCAUACGGAGGAUCCGAGCGUUAUCCGGAUUUAUUGGGUUUAAAGGGAGCGUAGAUGGGUUGUUAAGUCAGUUGUGAAAGUUUGCGGCUCAACCGUAAAAUUGCAAUUGCUACUGGCAGUCUUGAGUACAGUUGAGGUAGGCGGAAUUCGUGGUGUAGCG
This 345-nucleotide ribosomal RNA is filed under the name uncultured bacterium. RNAcentral's name for it is "partial 16S ribosomal RNA". It matches the Rfam family "Bacterial small subunit ribosomal RNA", at positions 338 to 680 of the family's 1533-position model. The record is from RNAcentral.